RNAcentral lists this ribosomal RNA (253 nucleotides) under uncultured bacterium. RNAcentral's name for it is "partial 16S ribosomal RNA". It matches the Rfam family "Bacterial small subunit ribosomal RNA", at positions 524 to 776 of the family's 1533-position model. The record is from RNAcentral.
UACGGAGGGAGCUAGCGUUGUUCGGAAUUACUGGGCGUAAAGCGUGCGCAGACGGUUGCGUAAGUCAGAUGUGAAAGCCCCGGGCUCAACCUGGGAAUUGCAUUUGAGACUGCGUAGCUAGGGGUGCGGAAGAGGGAAGCGGAAUUUCCGGUGUAGCGGUGAAAUGCGUAGAUAUCGGAAGGAACACCAGUGGCGAAAGCGGCUUCCUGGUCCAGCACCGACGUCAGGCACGAAAGCGUGGGGAGCAAACAGG